This 1796-nucleotide long non-coding RNA is filed under the name Homo sapiens (human). Its description in RNAcentral is "HSALNT0392333". The record is from RNAcentral. Lineage: Eukaryota; Metazoa; Chordata; Mammalia; Primates; Hominidae.
GAGGCAGGAGAAUCGCUUGAGCCCGGGAGGUGGAGCUUGCAGUGAGCCGAGAUCGCGCCACUGCACUCCAGCCUGGGCGACAGAGCGAGACUCAUCUCAAAAAGAAAAAAAAAAAAGAAUAAAGACAGAGUUUGACUUUCCCACCUGCGAACAAGUGGACUGUACUGCUUUGCCCACAGUCUCCAUUCCCCAUUCAUGCUGUUUUCACAGCCCAGUAAUGGCCAACUGCUCAGCACCUGUGUGCCCUGCUGUCAGGCAGGUGGGACCCACAGUCCUCUGGGCCUAAACUGCUGAAGCCUGCACCACAAGGCGGGCACGGCAUUCCAACACCUCUUCAGGCUCAACAGCCUUUAGAGGCUACACUGAGUCCUCUUUUUCAUGCUCUUCCUGGUUUUCAAGUGUCAAUUAAAAUUUGUCUUCAGAAGAAACUUGAAAAUAAGUAUCUGAUGCCGUCAUCAGGAUAGACUAGUAUUAGCUUUCGCAGCUGAAGUUAUUGCUCUCCCAGCCCUAAUAAUAACUUACCAAGUGCUUAUUAUUUAUCAGGCACUGGUCCAAGUCCUUCAAUCAGAUUGUCUCACCUGAUCCUCCCAACAGCCCUAGGAAGCAGGUCUUACUACACUCCCCAUUUCACAGGGACUGGGGCUUGGGGAGGUGAUGCGGUUUCCUGGGUCACUCCAUUACUGAGUAGUGAGACAGGAUUCAGACGCAAGCUUUGAAAAUGUUCUAAUUUUCUUUAGAAGGAAGGGCCCUUCUUAAUAGCACACUGAAUAAAAUCAAAUGAAUAAUCACACAUUACAAGAUGCCUCCUAUACGUCUCUAUAUUUAGCUACUUACAUACCAGGUUUCUUUUUUGUUUGUUUUUGUUUUUAAGACAGAGUCUCGCUCUGUCACCCAGGCUGGAGUGCGGUGGCGCGAUCUCGGCUCACUGCAAUCUCUGCCUCCCAGGUUCAAGCGACUCUCCCGCCUCAGCCUCUGCAGUAGCUUAGGGACUACAGGUGCGUGCCACCAUGCCAGGCUAAUUUUUGUGUUUUUAGUAGAGACACGGUUUCGCCAUUUUGGCCAGGCUGGUCUCAAACUCCUGACCUCAGGUGAUCCACCCGCCUUGGCCUCCCAAAGUGCUGGGAUUACAGGUGUGAGCCACCGUGCCCGGCCUACACACCAGCUUUCUAUUCACCUACACACAACUGAUGCUCUUUUGGAGUGGAGAGUUUUAGUAAAAUAUGAUGGGGUCUUCAGGCACCUGAGUUGCUACUUACUACUAUGAGAAGAUAGAAAAUGUUUUUUCCUCUAAACAGCUUUUGAAAGAAUGAAUGCACAACAAGGCAAAAAAUAAAAACUUUCUUUUCCUUUUCUACGAUCAAUGUUCAACAACUCGUUCCUUCCAAUUUGUAACAGAGUUGAAGCUGAAACAGACAAAAAAUAGUAAUAGCUGCUCCCAUUUAAAGAAAAAUGCUUGAGGAAACAGCUGUAUAAAUCAAGAAACAAUACCAAGCAGAUGACGAAACUGAUCUCUUCUUGAGAACGUAAGCAUGUUAGCUCAUUCGUGACUCAAAGUCAUGUAAUAAUAGUUGACAUAUACCACUUUUCACAUACAUUAUCGCUUCCAGUCUUCACGCACAUCUAUUGUUCCUGCUUGAGAAAUGAGGAAACUGAGGCUCAGGUUGAAGACUUGCCCAUGGCUCACGUAUCUGUCACAGUCACUUUCCAAAAAGCAAAUCUGAUCAGGUUCCCCACUCAGGUCCCCAAAUCUGAAUCCAUCCUACCUCUCACCCUCGGCUUAAAAUCUUCCAAACAAU